This is a non-coding RNA of Microcebus murinus (gray mouse lemur), 3761 nucleotides long. The record is from RefSeq and is a predicted model, not a curated record. NCBI's taxonomy places the organism in Eukaryota, Metazoa, Chordata, Mammalia, Primates, Cheirogaleidae.
CCAAUCAGCAAUAAGCUUUAACAUCCAAUCAGCAAUAAGCUUUAACGUCCAAUCAGCAACAAGUUUUAACGUCUAAGCUUUAACGUCCAAUCAGCAACAAGCUUUAACAUCCAAUCAGCAACAAGCUUUAACAUCCAAUCAGCAACAAGCUUUAACAUCCAAUCAGCAGCGGGAUUCAAAAAGUAUCCAAUCAAGAUCCCGCAAGCAGCGCACGCAGCCCAUGGAGACCACAGGCGCCACUGAGAAGGGACAGGAGGCCGUUGGAGGAGCCGCCACCCCUCGGCCUAAGCCGACCAGGCCCGGUGCUCGAACAGCCGAACAGCCGGAGGUUCCUCAUCUGACCCCUGGGAGCGUCCUCCUGUCAGGCCGGCCGCACGGGGACCGGGACCGCAGCGAGCCACGGAGAAGCUGCAGCAGGCUGCGGUUGAGAGCCGCGCCCAUGCGCGUUUCUCCUAGUCUGGCGGUUACGAGGCGUUUAGUUUGCUUACAUUUAAUGUAAUUACUGCUGUGUUUGGAUUUCCCGUUAUUCCGAGCUUUCUGCUUAUACUGCCUAUUCUGUUUUGUGUUGUCUUCCAUCUCGCCUUAUUUGGGGGUUGCUUAAUUAUUUUUAAUUUCCUCUAACGGUUUGGAAAUCAUGAACUCUGAUUCUAUUAUUUUAGUGGUCACCUUAGAACCACCCCCACCCCACACACACUUUUUUUAAUCAAAAUCAGGAGUUAACCCAUACUUUCAUCCUCCGCUUGGAUCACACGAAGAGCCUAAACUGUUAAUUACGCUUACUCUCCUCCUGACUUGUGUUCAUGUGGUCAUACAUUAGAAUUCUCUCAUUUUAACCCCAUUAGUUGUUGUUGUUAUUAUUGUUAUUUUAUAGUCAAUGUUUCCUUAUCUUUACCCACCUCAGGUUUUCCCUCUGGGAUCAUUUUCCUUGUGCCAGAAGCACCUCCUUUAAAAUGGACAUGGAAUCUGAAGUUAGCAGUUGUUUUCUUUCAGUCCGUUGAAGGUCUGGUCACAACCGCCCUGUGGCUUCCACUGUCGCUGCUGCUGGCAAACCAGCUGCUCGUCUGGUUGUUGUUUCUUUGCUUCGAGAUGUUUCUUCCUUGUCUGGUAUUCUGCAGUUUCGCUGUAGACAUGGAUUUAGUUUUCAUCCAUCCUUUUUGGGAAUUACUGAACUUUCUGGAAUGCUGGCGAUGUUUCUAAGGUUGCCUUCAUUACUAGAACUUAGGAAGCCUGGCGGUGUUGGGGGUCUGUACUGAUAAUUCCAAUACCUGAGGUCUUGCAGGUGUGUUUUCGUGGUCUGUUAUUCUCAAUCACGGUGCCCUGCGUUCUUGUGGGAUUGACUCCCUUCUUUGACUGUGUGCUGUUUGUUACCCUUAGAGUUGUUUGUGGGAUUCCCUGAGGCCUAGGAUAGAAAUGACUUCCUUUAGCCCUGAGGUCCACCACUUAGGCAUGUGGGCAGACUACAGGUUUGGUGCACGUCAGCGUCAGAGCUCCAGGUUUCUUGGAAUGCCCUGGUGUGGCAAAUUUGGGCUUUAAGUCUGCCAAGCAUUUGCCGACUUUGGGACAUAUUUUCUCCUUUUCUCUUUUCUUGUUUCCUUUUUCUGAUUCACUAAGUACCAAAAGAAACAUUCUUGAUAGCUUCUUGUGGGUGAGAGGAAAGAAGCCGGCUCAUCCUAACCCUAAUUGUGUGGCUUCGGGAAGUCGAAGCGUAUGUGCUGGGAUCCUAACAAAUUCACAAACUUUGGGGGGUAGCUGAGUAUUAAUUUCUGUCCUCCCCAAUUCUGUGAAUCUAUCAAAACAGGCCUAAUUUUGGAGUCUGGGUUGUCCAAAGGUAAAAGGGACCUAAUGACUGGUUGAUUUUUUUGGAGGUCUUCCUUGUCCUUAGGCCCAGGCUUGGUCACACAUCCUGAUCUUGUCAACGCUGCCGUGCAUAUAAGAAAAUGAAAAAGAACAUUUUUAUAUAGCAUUUUGUAUUAUUUUCAGAGGAUGAUUGAUCUCAACAGUUUAUCCCAGCGUUGUUCAAUAGUAUGUUCUGUGGCGAUGGAAAUGGUUCUGUAUCUGAGCUUUCCAGUAUAGUAGUCCUGAAAUGUGGAUAACGCACCAGAGGGAUUAAAUGUUUAAUUUUGCUUGAUUUAAAAUUUACAUAGCCACACGUGGUUGGUGGCUACUGUAUUGGAUAGUGCAGCCCUAGGCCACUGACAGAGACCAGAGUGUCUUUAUUCUUUACAUUUCCUUUGGUUGAGGAGACACUCUUAGCCUCUAGCCCAGCUGCUAGAAUCUUGGGGAAGCACAGUGUUUUGUUUUGUUUUUUUUUUUUGUAUUUAUCUACAGUUCCUAUUUGUAUAUAAGGCUGUAUUCCUUGUAUAAUAAAGAAAAAUCAUUUUGAAUAUCACCAUGGUGAGUAGGUAGAAUGCUACUGCUUAAGACAAGUCAUGUCACAGGGAGGAGGGAGAAAUACUUGAUUUUUCCCUCCCUGAUUUUUAUGGCAACAAACUUUAAUACAAUAAACCGUAUAGUUUGCUUGGCAUCCCAAGGCCAAUCUCAACCACAUAAGCCCUGUACUUAGUCUUAGAGAAAUAUUUAUCUAGAGGAAUAAAAAAAAUGAGCAAAGCAAUAAAAACAUAUAUGGAGCAGUUUUCCACCUGGCUGCUGAAGUUCUCUUCCAGCCACACCCAGCUGGAUCCACACUGCUGGGAAUCUCUCCCUCCUCUCUUUCCCCACAGCACAUUGUUUAUGCCCAGGACAUGCAGAGCUGGAAGAUAGAAGAGUUUUAUGGACAUAAUUGCAUUGGCCUCGUGAUGUUUGCCUCUAAACUCCAUGCUAUUUCAUUUCCCAUUUGCCGCUUAUAAAUCUCUUUCACUCAUUAAGAGAACUACUGGGAACUUGCCAUCAGCUGAGCUCUGGAGAUAGCACGGUUUCCAGCAAAGACUUCACAGAAGGCAAACUUGGGAAGAGUGGUGCUCAAAUCAGUUCUUGGGUGUCCUGAAAGCUGGCUGCACCACACCCCUGGAACUCAGUGCACACCCAAAACAGGUGAUUCUAUGCCCACCAAAGUCUGCGAAUCGGCAGAAAAAAGAGAUUGAGAAAAAGUAGCCGAGGAGGUAGAGGAACCAAGUGGCCACGGCAUCCUAGAAACCAACAGAAGAGUCGCAGGAAGGAGAGUGUUGGUUUCCACCCUGUCAUAUGAUAUGACAAGAUAGACUGUCACUGAUAACCAGGAGGUCACCUGGUGCCUUAAGCACCCACUGCUUCAGCGGAAUGGGAAGAGGAUGGUACAGAAGGCAGAUCCUCGGCAACCAAAGAGAAGGCUCUAUUGACAUUAAACUAGACAAACAUUUGGAUCCUGCAGUCUCACCUCUUGGUGGCUACCCUGAUGUCACAUGAAACGCUUGCCCGUGUGCACAGAGAUGUGUGCAGUGAUGUUCUACCGAAGCACUAUUUGCAAUGAAGAAAACAGGUUUUAAAUGUCCAUCAGAUAGGAAAACUAAAUAACCCAGAUACUGUAUAUGCAUGUGAUGGAACUCUCGGCAGCGUUGAGACGAAUGAGGUGGGAGGCCCUUGAGAGAAAAAAAGUAAGUUGCAAUAAAGCUCUGUAUUUUCAGAGGCAUUCAAAUUUAAUGAUCAGAGAGUGAUUAAAGGAGCCGGCGUGUAGUGCAAGCGCCACAAAUGUUAGCUGUUAUUACACUGGGGGUGGUGGGCAAAAGAGACUUCAGUGUUACGUAGAGUGCCUGGAUUUUAAACCAUGAGACUGCGUUUUCAAUGUG